AUCAGCGGCCCCUGGAACUCAAACGCGGGGAGAUCAACAAUAUUAGAUAAAACAACUGAUGAAUAAAACAUACAGAAAGACAGACGAAUGAAGACGAGCAGCACAGGGUCUCCUAUUAGUAACAGAAGAUGAUCUUAGACUGAUGACACAGAACAACCAUCAUAAAUCAAAUACAGAAACAGCAGCAGAUAAUACAGCCUGAGAAAGAGAGUAACUCUACAGUAACGACUGGCACUAUGAGCCGUAAGCUCUCUCUGGCCUCAUCUCUUGACCUGGUCAAACCCACCACUGACCUCUUCCGUCACAGCAUUGUGCCGCAGCU
Long non-coding RNA from Sinocyclocheilus grahami, 322 nucleotides. RefSeq lists it as uncharacterized. NCBI's taxonomy places the organism in Eukaryota, Metazoa, Chordata, Actinopteri, Cypriniformes, Cyprinidae. The transcript has 3 exons. The record is from RefSeq and is a predicted model, not a curated record.